GCAGAGAUUGCAUGGGGAAUGUAGGAACGUUCCCGAUGUCUGCUUGGAUCUGUCCCUCCCGCCUUCCUUCCAUACUGGGCUUAAGCUGAAGGCCUCCUCCUUUUGCUUGGCUUUUUCACUCAAGGCUGUGACUCUAUCACUUUAGCC
Molecule: long non-coding RNA, 147 nt
Organism: Perognathus longimembris pacificus (Pacific pocket mouse)
Lineage: Eukaryota; Metazoa; Chordata; Mammalia; Rodentia; Heteromyidae
Exons: 3
Source: RefSeq, a predicted model, not a curated record